Molecule: non-coding RNA, 19 nt
Filed under: Rattus norvegicus (Norway rat)
Lineage: Eukaryota; Metazoa; Chordata; Mammalia; Rodentia; Muridae
Source: RNAcentral
UAACAAAAACAUUAUUAUC